GAUGAACGCUGGCGGCGUGCCUAAUACAUGCAAGUCGAGCGAACAGACGAGGAGCUUGCUCCUCUGACGUUAGCGGCGGACGGGUGAGUAACACGUGGAUAACCUACCUAUAAGACUGGGAUAACUUCGGGAAACCGGAGCUAAUACCGGAUAAUAUAUUGAACCGCAUGGUUCAAUAGUGAAAGACGGUUUUGCUGUCACUUAUAGAUGGAUCCGCGCCGCAUUAGCUAGUUGGUAAGGUAACGGCUUACCAAGGCAACGAUGCGUAGCCGACCUGAGAGGGUGAUCGGCCACACCGGAACUGAGACACGGUCCAGACUCCUACGAGAGGCAGCAGUAGGGAAUCUUCCGCAAUGGGCGAAAGCUUGACGGAGCAACGCAGCGUGAGUGAUGAAGGUCUUCGGAUCGUAAAACUCUGUUAUUAGGGAAGAACAAAUGUGUAAGUAACUAGGCACGUCUUGACGGUACCUAAUCAGAAAGCCACGGCUAACUACGUG
Molecule: ribosomal RNA, 497 nt
Filed under: uncultured bacterium
Lineage: Bacteria
Description: partial 16S ribosomal RNA
Rfam family: Bacterial small subunit ribosomal RNA
Source: RNAcentral